GCGGAGAACCUUACGGGGAUGCGACAUCCGCGUCUAGUGGAUUUCCACCAUAUUAAAUCCCCCUUCUUGGGGCUGGGAGGAGCAGAGGUGCUGCUUGUCUGUCGUCAGGUCGUGUCGUGAGAGGUUGGGUUAAGUCCCGCAACCAGCGCAACCCUUGACCUCUGUUGCUAACAGGUUAGGCUGACCACUCAGACGAAACUGCCGGAGAUAAACGAGAGGAAGGAGGAGAUGACGUCCACUCGUCCUGGCCCUCAGGUGCUGGGCUACACAUAUGUUACACUGGCCUUGACGAUGGGCAGCCAUCCCGCGAGGGCUAUCUAAUCCCCCAGACACGCCUCAGAUCGGAUUGUACUCUGCAACUCGAGUACGUUAGGCUGGAAUCGCUAGGUAAUCGCGGAUCAGCACGCCUGCAAGUGCAAUACGCUGCCCGGUGUCUUGUACACACCG
Molecule: ribosomal RNA, 447 nt
Filed under: uncultured bacterium
Lineage: Bacteria
Description: bacterial SSU rRNA
Rfam family: Bacterial small subunit ribosomal RNA
Source: RNAcentral